AGCAUUGUCGGUAAGCAGCCCUGAAAAGGCUGGUGUCGGCGGUUCGAUUCCGUCUCUGGCCACCA
Molecule: transfer RNA, 65 nt
Filed under: Acidobacteria bacterium RIFCSPLOWO2_12_FULL_54_10
Lineage: Bacteria; Pseudomonadati; Acidobacteriota
Description: tRNA-Ser
Source: RNAcentral